AUUCAGUGUGGUGGUGCACAUCUGUAAUCCCAGCCACAUGGGAGAUGGAGUAUGGCAGAUCUCUUGAGCUUGAGAGUUCUGAGCUGGGCUAUGCCGUCUAAGUCUUUAUAGUAAAUUUAGCAUCAAUCUGAUGACUCCCCAGGAGCAGAAGAACCACUGGGUUACCUAAGGAGGAAUGAACUAGCCUAGAUCAGAAACAGAUUAUGUAAAAGCCCCCAUGCCAAUUAGUACUGGAAUUGAACCUUAAGAGUAACUGCUACACUUUCAGCUUAGGUGAAAUUGGAAGACCCAGUCUUAA
Unclassified non-coding RNA from Monodelphis domestica (gray short-tailed opossum), 298 nucleotides. It matches the Rfam family "Metazoan signal recognition particle RNA". From Rfam's summary of the family: The signal recognition particle (SRP) is a universally conserved ribonucleoprotein. It is involved in the co-translational targeting of proteins to membranes. The eukaryotic SRP consists of a 300-nucleotide 7S RNA and six proteins: SRPs 72, 68, 54, 19, 14, and 9. Lineage: Eukaryota; Metazoa; Chordata; Mammalia; Didelphimorphia; Didelphidae. The record is from Ensembl.